CUUGUUGCACUAUGAAGGUAGUUUUUACUUCAAUAAAAUUUAUAAUAAAUCCUGCAAAUUUUUCUUCUCAUUAGGUGGAAAUUCCUUUCUUUGUUUAGAUCUAGUCUCUGAUCCCUUUAAAGGAAUAUAUAGUGCUGGGGCACAUUCGGACUUCGGAUUUAUUACCUCGUUGGCGACAGAUGAUGUCCUAGAUUUGCAAGAACAAGGAUGCUAAACCUCCAAAAUGGGAAUAUGUGCAACAUAUGAGAGGAGCAUUCAUAGUGAAUCUUGGUGAUAUGCUAGAACGAUGGAGCAAUUGUAUUUUCAGGUAAUAUGCUUUAAUAAGAGUCUAUAUAGAUAGAUUGGCACGAGGAAAGCUUUGAACAUAAAGGUUGGAGAUUAUCUUAUGGCAGGCUACUAUAUAUUGUUAACCUGUCCCAAACUCCACCAGAGUUUCUUCUAUUGCACUCUCUUGGCUCUUUCUAAUAUCAGUGGCCCAUUAGUAGCGAAAGAGUAUCUACUCUUGACAUUGGUCAGGAAAAAUUUCCAUGUUAAACACGGUUGUUGAAGAUGGUAUAUGUUUUGAUGACCAACAUUAAU
Long non-coding RNA from Eucalyptus grandis, 579 nucleotides. RefSeq lists it as uncharacterized. The record is from RefSeq and is a predicted model, not a curated record. NCBI's taxonomy places the organism in Eukaryota, Viridiplantae, Streptophyta, Magnoliopsida, Myrtales, Myrtaceae. The transcript has 3 exons.